Long non-coding RNA from Vespa crabro (European hornet), 6993 nucleotides. RefSeq lists it as uncharacterized. The transcript has 2 exons. The record is from RefSeq and is a predicted model, not a curated record. NCBI's taxonomy places the organism in Eukaryota, Metazoa, Arthropoda, Insecta, Hymenoptera, Vespidae.
GGGAAAAGUUUCUUAAAGUUAAAGUCGCUUGUGCCUCGAACGAAAAAAACUUGCGUAGAGUACACGAUCGUAAUGCAUAGCUACGACGAUCCAAGGGCUUUCCCUCUCCUCUCUUCUAUCACGGAGGAGGAGGAGGAGGAGGACGACGACGACGGUGGUUCUUCGAAAUGGCCUUUAAUACAAAUUCGCGUUUGUUCCGACAUCGUGUUUUUUACGUCGACGUAUUUUCUGUCAGUACAACGAAAUGGGAGGGAGAGGGGGAGGGGGUUCUUUCUCUCUUAACGUAGUUAGGCAAACAAAGAUUUGUUCUUUUCCAAUCUUGCCUCAUCGAUUCUCAAGCUUUUCUCUUUUACCGUUCGACACGUUCGACGUUAACGGGCGAGGAGCGAGGGGGCGGGGGAGUAAAUGCAAGGCGCGCAAUUCCACGCUCGCGAUAAAGUGGAAUAUCGGAAAUUUAUGCGAAACGGCGAUCGGCCGCGUCGAACGUAGCCAGGAACGUAGCGCGAAACUCGUUUUUCUCUGACGAUUCAAAAAUCGUUUUGCUGCUUGCGCGACUACAUAUGCACAUAUGUGCGUAGUAUAAGUAGAAAUGAUCGGUGGGAAAUAUUCGGAGUCAUGGAAAGAACGGCAGCCGGGAAAAUAAUAAGUUUAGAAUAAAAUUUCAAUCUCGCUCGAGAUCGAAAUGAUUCUUUUGAUCAACGGAAGUGAAAGAAACUAUUCUACUUUUAAUAUCGUAGAACGGGAGGAAGAAUGGAAUAAAUUAUUUGAGGUAUCGAAGAGAAGACGCGUGAAGCCCCUUGCAAAAUAUAAUCGAGUAAAAGAACUGGCAGCCGCAUUUUGUACGUCAAGAGGUAGAAAAGCUCUCGUGACGGGAGAUCGAGCGCGAUUCGAGAACCUCCUUUAAAGGUCUUAUCGGUCUUUGGAAAAUUGCGGCUCGUGGUGGGUGGUACCGGCAUAUCCUUGAGAAAAUCCAAGAGAAAAUCAAUCUACGGCGCUUCUUCGGCACGCUCCACUCUCCGAACGAUUAAACACACACCGAUCCAUUUCGUUGACUUUUUAAACGCGAUCAUUUUCAAAGAGCUAACGACGCUUUGGCGCGCCCAUGAGCGCCUUUGGCAGAAACUCGGAAAGGAGCGAUACCCGCGACUUAAUUAUCAUUAUUAUUUUUAUUAUUAUUAUUAUUAUUAUUAUGAUUAUUAUUAUUAUUACUAUUAUUUCCGCCAGGUAUGAUCGCCAUCUUGCACGCCAUCUUGUCCACACCCGCGCAUUUUGAAAACUAGAAAACGUCGUCUUAUGAAUUUUUUAUCACUCCCCGUAACGUGCGUGCGGCAAACUUUGAUAAAUAUUUCCUCGGACCAUGCGACGACGACCAUCUGAUUCGUCGAGCUCAGAUUGCAUUCGAAAGCGUGGCCUCGCCAAUAAAUAACGACGUAAAGGUGUUGCGAUGAAAAAUAGAAAAAACGUUGGAAGACGGGGGGGAGAGAGAGAUGUAGGGAGGCGGGGAGAUUCUUCUCGCGGUAAAAAAAGAAAAAGAAAAGGUCGAGAAAACAUUCUGUUGCCGCACCCACACGAAAUGAGUAUUAACUAUCGAUAGAAAAAUGCAGGUCGGGCCGCGAGUUUCGUUCGAUCGUAUCGCUCCAUUUUCUCAGAGUCAAUUCCGCGAUAAAAUCAAAGGAACAUGGAAUUUUAAAUUUGUAUUUCUAAUCUUGCCUAACCUUUCUUUUUCCUCUUCACAAAAUUAAAACGUUCGAAAUUAAAACGCGUGUCUAUAAGUACUUAACACUCCCUUAUUGUAAUAAUACUUGUAAAGCAGAUACGAGAUUUCUUUUUUCUGCGGAUAAAAUGGGACUAUUAUAUCGUGUCGGAUCGUCCGCAGUCGUUCUUGAGACGAUUAAUUGCUACCCCAACCGUGAUCGAUUACCAGACGUUUUCUCCAACAAAGUAGAAAAGGUCCGACUACAGAUCAGGCACAGCAAUUCUCUCCUUCUCAAGCCCCCGCCAUUCUACUGCACGUUAUACAUAUACGUACGUAUGUUUGAAUAUAACAAUCGUUCAUACAUACAUACAUACAUACAUACAUACAUACAUACAUACAUACAUAUAUAUAUAUAUAUGUAUGUAUUAUAUACGUGAUUAUACAUAAAGACUACCGCAUAUUAAAUGAAAUUAAUCAAUGUUACAACAACGAUUUUUCUCUAUCGUCGCCGGACAUACGGGCUCUCAUUGCCUCACUACUAACGAAUUCAUUCCGUUUAAAAGAAGAAAGCGAAUAGUUACACGCAUGUGGUAAAUAUGACUGCUCAUGCAAGCUCGGGUGAAACGAUAAAUAAGUACGUACGUACGUAAGUAGGUAAGUAAUUAAGUAAGUAAGUAGGUAGGUAAGUGAGUGAGUAAGUAAUAAAGUAACGAUAAAGUAACGAUGUCGAUGUAAUAAUAAUGAUAGUAAUAAUGUAGUAAUAAUAAUGACGACGACGACGACGACGACGCCGAUAAUGAUGAUGAUAAUAAUAAUAAUAAUAAUAAUAAUAAUAAUAAUAAUAAUAAUAAUACUGGUAAGAAAAGAGAAACAAAUGUCGACACAUCCGGCGUGCAGGUACUCGAGGUAUUCGUCAAAGUUCAUCCUCCUACGUAAGUUGAAGAUGAAAAAAAAGUGAAAUAGCGAUAAUAAAAGAUAAAAAAUGUGAAAGAAAAAAAUGGAAAGAAGGAAGAAAAAAAUAAAGGUAGAAUAAAAGAAGAAUAGGUACAAAGAGCGUAAUAAAUUUAUAACCAGAGAGCGAAAAAAUUGCACUUGCACAUUGCGGCACACACACACAUAUAUAUAUAUAUAUAUAUAUAUAUAUAUAUAUAUAUAUAUCUGUUGCACCAGUGCCCGAGAUAGGAGGAAAAAGGUCUCGGCAUUCGUAACGCAAUACAACAAAGUACCAACGUUAAUAAACAUUCCUUAUCGACCGAACGAAUGAUUAGCGUAGGGAUUAAAUUGCCAGAGUGCGAUCCGACGUAUCGCGGAAAAAGGGACAUUGUCGUAUGCCUUUGUUUUUUCUUUUACUCGUUAUUCUUAUAUCCUGCAAUAGAAAGAUCGUAAACAGAGUUGAGCGAUGACACGCGUGGCCGAUGCUAAACGAUCGCGUAUAUACGUAUAUGAGCAUGUAUACGUAUAUAACGAAACCGUGAGAAAAGGUAACAUCGACGAUUACUUACAAUUGGAUUAAUCUUUGAUUAAUCUGAAGAGCCAUUAUAUUUACUGUUAUUAUUACUAUUAUUAUAAUUACGAUUAUUAUUACUGUUAUUGUCACAAUUACUACAACUACUACCAGCAUCAACGAAGCCAACGACAAGUGACUCGGUAUCGCGAACGCUCGUUGUUAUCGAUUAGCUCUGGCUACUACAAAAAUUUCCUAUUAUUUCUCUUCGUUUGCUGUCAACUUCAUCUGUCCGCCCCCCCCCUCCCUCAACCCUUUUAUCUCGCACGCACUCACUCACUCACUCACUCAUUCAUUCUCUCUCUCUCUCUCUCUCUCUCUCUCUCUCUCUCUCUCUCUAGAAACGAAGAAACCUUAUUGAGCGCGAUUAACUUUGAACAGAAAUUAAAAGAAAGGAAUCGAGCGAGCGAGCAAAUUUCUUUUUCCGCGAGAGACGCGCGCGUGUCCGCAUAUCCGCGCUUAGACGUAAGAGCGUGGCGAAUAACAAUAAUUACCCAAUUAAUUAACAGUGAGGUGCGAAACAUAGCAAGACAGAAUAAAAAGAUAUUAACACUACUUUCGCGUCGACCGGGUGUGUGAGCGUGUGCGUGUGUUUCAGAAGAGACAACUAUAUUCAAUGAACAAUCAAGUCAAACAAUUAAUCAACCGUGUUGUUAUGUAAGUAUAGAUAUUAUAUGCGCUAUACAGUGAGUGCUAAACACGGCAGGAGAAUAUUUGGAAAAUGAAAAGUGGAAGAGAAAGGGGGAGGGGCGAUGGGAGGGAGGAAAUAGUGAAAGAGCUUGAAACGUCGAUGUGUUUUCUCGUUGUAUAAGAGGAUCCAAUAUUUUCUCUCUUUUCUUUUUCCUUUCUUGGUUGGGGCGCGAUCGUCGAACCAUACCCGUUGUUGAUACGUAUCAAAGAAGAAAGAAACGACGGAGAAAAGGAAAAGUAUUGCACGGUCUUGAACGAGUACGUGUCGAUCUUUCUUAUUUAUUUUAUAUUUUACCUCUUUCUCUCUUAUUACUCCUUUUUUAGUAAAGUAACACUCUACUGAAGUGUCGUACGCGACGCGAGAAAAUGAAGAGAAACGUCCUCCGGUACGAUCGCGCGCGCGAACAAUUCCCGUUACGAAAUUCAAUCGUUACCUUUCGCGAAUUUGCGCAUGGCUCUCUUUUAAAGGACGGAAAGUAAAAUAUGGAAGGAGUAUUUUCAUUCGAAAAAUGGAUGAGAUAGAUAAAAAGAGCAGGAAAUUGAAAAGUACUCGAAGUAGUGUGACCGAAGCUGCCAAACAACGAUAUAAAAGCGCACAAAACAAUACGAGAGAUUCAAGAUUAUAUAUAUAUAUAUUAGUGUGUAUGUCUAUAUAUACACAUACACGAGAGACCAAGAGAGAGAGAGAGAGAGAGAGAGAGAGAGAGGAGGAAGGAGAACCAAAAGCAAGAAAAGAAGAAGGACCAACGAGAUUAAAAGUAUAAACUUCUUUGUGGACGUUGCAGAUAUUUCGUUGAGAGAUAUUUCUCUUUUUUCUUCUUUCCUUCUUUCUUUCGCUCAUCUUACUCACUCCUCUCUCUCUCUCUCUCUCUCUCUCUCUCUCUCUCCCUCCCUCUCUUCUUGUGUCCGUUCUCUUUUCUUUUUGUCCUUUAAUAAAUAUAUCGUAGAAGAUACUAAUGUGUGUCGAAUGAGGGAAAUUCAGAGUUUCGAGAACAUUUUCUUUGGCCGUUUCCUUGAGUUUCGUAGAUGCGCAUAUAAGUGGCAACGAUAACAACGACAAUGUUUUUCAAGAUCGGACGAGGAUCCAAGCGAAGAAGAUGGAGCCGAACGAGUCUUUCGAAGGAGGAUUCGAGAGAAUAUAAUAAUGCGAUCCGCCGAACGACGGUGAAAUCGAAAGCAGCGUUCUCUAUUCUAAGACACAUACGUGAUUGUUAAAAAAGAAAAAGAAAACAAAAGGAAAAGAAAAAAAGAAUAUGGGAGAAAAAAAAUAAAAGCAUUGGCCUCUCAUUAUACCUUCCACUCACCUAUAAAAAAGCGUGCGACUACUAUUUACAUAUAAUAAUAGUAAUAAUAUAAUAAUAAUGAUGAUUGUAACAAUCAAAGAUGGAGAUACCUUUCGUAUUAUAACGUGUAUAUGCGCGCAUAUCUAUGCGACGAGUAUAGUGCGCGUGUAAAUAUAUAUAUAAUUGUGUACAUAUAUAUAUAUAUAUAUAUGUGUAUAUAUAUAUGUAUAUUUAUAUAUAUAUGAGUCUUGCUAAAUGCAGUAUAUCAUGUAUGUACGUAUCAUGCUGGUCACGUUGCAAGUGGAUUAGUCGAGGCUCGGCGAUCGCGAUGGAAAAGGAAAAGAAAAAAAUAUGGAGCGAGGAAAUUGAAAAAUUGAAACACUUGGUCGAUCCGCACACUUGAAGACGAAGAUAUUACUAUUUCCUUUCUGUCGUCUAUUUAUUUUCUCUCGUCCUUCGUACUUUGGAUCCAACGACAAUUUCUCGAAACUCGUAAGGAUCGGGCUCGAGAAUAUCGGAAUUCGUGGAUUCGGAGAAAUAGAAUUGAUAAUACAGGUGCGACAAAGUUUCAUCAAAUCAAAUGGGCAGCAUCUCCCGAGAAUUUUUCCUUCGCGAGCGGAAGUGACGCUCGACCGGAAUCGCCAGAUUCGUACGUAAUAGCUCGUUCGAAAGUUAUACGUUCGAAAGUUAUUCUCUUUCAUAAAGUUACGAUAAUUCUCUUCGCGCUUCUCUUUCGUUUUUUACAUUUUUUACCUUACGAACGAGCAUAUCGUACGAGGCGCUACGAUCGAUUCUAUCAAGUAUAACCAAUGGGAACUAAAUAACGAUAAAAUGCGGAAGGCUAGCUAGUAAAAAUGCAACAGCUCGUCUAACAACUACGAGAGAACUAACGCCAUUGGUUAUAUGCUAUUUAUAUAUACGUAUAUAUAUAUAUAUAUAUAUAUAUAUAUAUAUAUAUGUGUAUAUGUAUAUGCGUGUGUGCGUGUACGUGUCACUAGGGCACAUACGCAAAGACGAGAGAGAGAGAGAGAGAGAGAGAGAGAGAGAGAGAGAGAGCAAGGGCGACGGGCAAGGCUUCUCCUCUUCGUUCUUUUCGUUUCUUCUCCAGUUCGAUUCGGAAUAAAUGAAAACGAAUAAAAAGGACGAUGCUCUUUCUCUCUCUUUCGAUCCCGUCGCACUCGCUCUCUAUGCUUUUUCCCUCUUCGAAGAUAUGUCUUUUUUACUUCUUUUUACAAAAUGCUGCGCUUCAUUAGGGAUGCCACAUUCCAUUUACAUUGACGAAGCUUUCGAAAAAAUGUCCUUCUUUCUCUUUCUCGUUCCCUCACUCUUGGCGCACGCACACAGACAGAGAAACACGCAAACAGCCAAGCACACGCGCAAACGUACGAUCUUUCUGUCUCUCCCUCUCUUUCUCGCUACCUUUCGUACUUUCGUGUAAACUCCGACACUCUUAAAAAUACAAAAUGUCUUAUCCUCCUAGCCUUUGUAAAAUCCAAGAGUAUGUAUCAUUAGGUAAUAUAAUUGUUAAGAAAUAGUUUGACAAUUUAGUUUCAACGUUCGAUCGAUCGUGCAUUUUACAAAGGCGAAAUUCGAUAGAAAUAUAAAUAAUUGAAAUACGUAAAAACGUAUGUCGUAAGAUGCGAUGGCAACGCUCUCUUAAAGACGAAAGAAAUUGCGCUUAACCGGAUUACCAACUGUCGUUAUAAUCGUCGAAAAGUCGUCGAAAAGUCGUCGAAAUCGAUCCAAGAAUUAAGAGUUAAGAGGCUAACGCGUAAGAGGAAACGAAAUGUUUCUCUAUAGUUAGGUAGAGAACGAUCGAG